UACGUAGGGCGCAAGCGUUAUCCGGAAUUAUUGGGGGGAAAGAGCUCGUAGGCGGUUUGUCGCGUCUGCCGUGAAAGUCCGGGGCUCAACUCCGGAUCUGCGGUGGGUACGGGCAGACUAGAGUGAUGUAGGGGAGACUGGAAUUCCUGGUGUAGCGGUGAAAUGCGCAGAUAUCAGGAGGAACACCGAUGGCGAAGGCAGGUCUCUGGGCAUUAACUGACGCUGAGGAGCGAAAUCAUGGGGAGCGAACAGG
Molecule: ribosomal RNA, 253 nt
Filed under: uncultured bacterium
Lineage: Bacteria
Description: partial 16S ribosomal RNA
Rfam family: Bacterial small subunit ribosomal RNA
Source: RNAcentral